CAGGAAGUCACAUGGAGGGAGACUCAUAUAUAAACAAGGGCAGGAAGGAAGUGGGCCCCUUCUCCCUUCCUCCAGAGUCACCAUGUGAUCCCGGCAUGAGGAUGCCAAUGGAAGGCAGCCUAAAUAAGAUAAGUCUUAUAAAAUAUACAGAUUUAUGAUAAUUAAGACUGAGCUAACAGAUGAGAAAUCCUAGUCAUUGGCCAAGCAGCAUUUGUACCUAAUAUAAGUCUCUGUGUAUUAUCUGGGGCCCUAACUCGGCAGGCAGAAAUCAGGUGGCUGGCGGAAACCACCCACGUGGCGGUAGGGCUCGGGUGGCUUUUGGUGGAAAGACUUAUCGUAACACCAAUUGUUUGUGAUUUUUGUGCUUAUAAACCCUGCUUCUGCCCUGGCUUGGGCUUUCAGGAGUAAGGAGGCUCCAAAGUCCUUGUCCUGCAGCCCCGAUCCAUCGUGACCUGUUUAUGUGAACCAAUAAGUGUCUCUCUCCUUGCCCAUGGCGCAUAACAGGCUAGGUGUAGCAAUGCUUUAAAAUGUAAGUACACCAAGGCAAACAGGAAGUUAGUAUGGAUGCAGAGAGGUAGGUAAACUGGAAUAUGGUAUGAAACUAACUGAAGUACUCGUAGGUAGUGAAGAGUGUUGGUUGAUGUGCUUCUCUGUUAACAAAAUGCAUCCUGACCACCUCUCGGUGCUUCAGAACAAUGCCUGAUGUGUUCAUCGUUAUUACGGGCACACCACUAAUUGCUCACCACCUCUUAUCCAUGCGUCUCCCUCAAUGCACCACUUCUCUGGCUAGACCAUCAUACAGCCUACCUCCAGUGUUCUCCAACUCUUAAGACUCUGAACAUAAUUGCUUCACAACAAUUUUUGUUACAUCAUUUGCUGUGUUCAGCUUGUUUUUCUAAAAAUGCACGGCAUCAAAUAUUAUCAGAGUUCCUAGUAAUUAUUGGCGUCCAUGUGUAAACCAAGGGCCUGGAAGAGUGAGUAGAGCCAUGGCCACCAAAACAGAGUGUUAGAAACCGUUCCUACCUGAACCAGGAGGGAUACUCUCCCUCAGUAAGAUGGAAGCGGUGACUUGUCACAAUUGUAACAUUUAAUUCUCUAAAAAAAAUUCAGUAAAUUAUCACUCUUUCCAUCUACCCAUUAGUAAAUGAAAACUCCUACAGUUAAGGCAUUCUACAAAUGCUCACAUCUGAUAUGAAAUGGGGUGGAAGCCAGAUGCCAGGCCUACUUGAGGAUAAACCCAUGUCACUUCCCACCAGGUUACACAAUAUUGAUUGCUUUAGAUUUAUCUUAUUAGUCUUUAAAACCUGCACAUGCCUGUGUGUUUCUGUGUGGGUAUGAGCACACAUGUGCCGGUGCUCAGAGAUGGAGGCCUCGAAUUUCCCAGAGCUGCAGGUCCAGGCAGUUGUUAUUUGUCCCAUAUAUGCAGUGACAACCGAACUCCUGACCUCUGGAAAAAGCAGUGCAUUCUCUUAACCACUGAGCUAUCUCUCCAGCCCCAUUGUAUCAAUUUUUCAUGUGUCAAAGCAUGGAAAACAAAAAGUAGCCGAAAACAAAAAGAAACCGGAGGUAUAGAAGGAUCACUGGUUUUUACUGUAUGUUAACACACAUAAAAAUUAUGUCUCGGAGUUCUGGUGUCUUAUUUCAUGCAGGGCAUGGUAGGUUUUCCUGCACAUCCUUGAUGGGGCUUGGCACUGCCUGAACUUAGGCUUAUUAGCUCUGCUGAUGAGGUCAUCAGGUGCUAAGGGAUCCCAACUCUGGCACUGUGAUUUCAGAGACUCCAAGUAGGUUGUAAAAAUGUGAGCCAAGAUCACAAGAAUCUUGUUAACAAGGAGAUGUUGACACAUGAAACAUCAGCAAAGGAGACAAGAUAGCAAGUAAAUGAACACACUGCUUGGUGACAAUGCUCAGAAGGGAGAGCAGGAAGAAAGGCAGGUCCUUGGUUCUCACAAUCCACCACUCACCACUUGCUGACUCUUUUGUUGUCCAACUGGUUAAAUCCACACUCAAGAUGAAGGUCCUCAUUCUACAACAAGUCCUUAUCACUCAGCUACAUGCAAGUAGUCGUCACUUCCCAGGAGACUGGCUCAGUUUCUUGUUGUAUCUGCUGGUGAGAAACCCCAAUGCAGGGAUUAGCAGACAAAGCGAGACACAAGUGAUAUGUUCAAGACUUGUCAAGAGCAUAUAAUUGACAGGAAAAGUGGCUCCUGGGAUGAGAGCCAGCCAGAUCCUCUGGGAGCAGUGCCAUUGGCCAGGCUGGCACACAGGAACACAUGCUCCAGUCUCUCUGGACUUGACAGCUGCUUCAGCCUUUGACAUGACCUUUUGGGAUCCUUACUAACCUGCUCCAGGCAGUUGUCUUCCAUGAAUUCUUAUGAUACGGAUUUCCACACAAGGCUCCUUAUCUUUCCAUGUAAAACAAGCAUUUUUUUACUAAAUAUUUACAAUAGCAGAGAUGAAUUAUUUACUCAGUUUACAGUUUCAUCUCUGAUUUUUCUGUAUGUUUAUCUGAAUGUUGGGUGUUUCCAGUUAAUAUAUCAAAGCCACAAAAUGGAGAAACUGGGUAAUUUGCACUGAGAUCUCUGCUGUCAAAAUGGGCCAUGAAAAUACUGUUUAGAUUUCAGACUGUUUAUGUCUGGGCUGAGGGGGAGAGGUGGGCAUACAGGAGCCUCAGGAAAACAGCUUGGGUUGUGGGCGGUGUGUGCACCUAUGUGAAAGGGAACUCCAGAGAUAGUUACGGUGGUUUAAAUGAGGAUGUCCCAUGUAGACUCUUUUAUUUGAACACUUGGUCCCGCGUUGGUGGAACUCUUUGGGAAGGAUUAGGAGGUGAGGUCUUGUUGGAGGAGACGAGUCACUGGAAGUGGGCUUAGAGGUUUCAAAAGCCCAUGCCAUUCCCAAUUAUCUUUCUCAGUCUUGUGACUGAUACUCAAUACGUAAGCUCUUAGUUACCGCUCCAGUACCAUGCUUCCAUGCUCCUUACCAUGGUAGUCCUGGACUCUAACCCUCUGCAACUGUGAGCCCCAAUAAACAUUUUCUUUUAUUAGUUGCCUUAGUCACGGUAACUCUUCCCAGCAAUAGAAAAGUAAUAGAGCAUUUGGGCGGUAAGUGGAGCAUGUAAGAAGCUGCUUGUAAUAUCACAUGAUGGCAGUUUCAUAUGGCUCAACUAAAUAACACAGAGGGAAAAACUGAGGAAGGUGCCAGAGUCAGCAGACACAAUACACUAUCUGGAUGGAUGGUCCUUCCCAUCCAGUAACUCUAGAACCAGUCAAGGGAUUUGACACAACAGUGGUAAAAAGCAGCUCAGAAAUAUUUAGAGGAUUUAAGAAAUACCGGGAGAACAAAUAUAUAAAUGAGUCGCAGGAGAUUCAUUUGCUACUAAAACUAAAAUCUGAAGUCUUGUGUCACCCGUGAUCCAAUGGCCUAGGACUUCGGGGAUGGAAGUAAAAUCAAGAAAGAGAAUAGCGCUGACAAUGCAGAUGAAGUGUCUUUGAGACCAAAAAUGCCCGUGAGGGUGUGCAACUGUGGCCAUACUGUUUAUUUGAACUAUAUAUUGAGAGUCCUUCACUCCAGUAGCAGGUACGACUGUGUGUGCUGGGUUCGGGAGACAGAACAGUGCAGAUAGAAGGGCUAGUAAAAGGUGACAAUAUAAAUCCGGGUCAGUGGCACUGGCAGACAUCUCCCUGAACUUUUCACACCCUGGUGAUCAGAGAGGAGGGUAGAGAGAAGGCCUUGGAAUGUUUUUAUAUCCUAGGAUCUGGUGCCCCACCUGACCCGAUUGACAGAUAUUGAUCAAAACUGCCAGUUAGAUGCUAACUCCUCGUUCCUGAUAAUUUAACUGGAGAGGACUUCAAACUGUGAGAACAAAGAGUGCAGACAGACAGCCCCAGACUGCUCAAAAUAUCUUCCCCAGGGUCCCUGCGUAGGUAGCAGGCUGCCCUUUCCAAGAAUGUGUUUAUCAAAAAGGCAACUGGAAACUUUGCUUUCCUGAGAACUCUGUUAACUCGCAACUUGAGAUAGCUGUGCAUUGCUUCUCUUUGGAGAUGGGAGGCUAACUAUUUAUAAUACCGGCUGGGACCAUCACCUCUCCUCUGAGGCCUAAAAGUUAAGACAUAUCCAUUUGCCCCUCCAUGUCAUGAGUGGCCUUGGAUAACUCCAAAUACUUCCUUGUAGGUGCAGGCUUCUUAUCCAGAAGAAGACACAGUCUGGGAACUCCUGGAAGCAACUGCUUGGAGUUCAUAUAUAUUCCUAAUGCUUUUAAGUGUCGUCCACCACCAGGAGGAAUUUGCUUGACUUUUACUGCAAAAGCAAGCAAGACACAAGAGGACAGCAAGCAUGAGUCCUCCGUCAUGGAAUUAUCUUCCAACUAAGGCUUCAAUUGGGUCCUUCAGUUUUCUAGUACAGGGGGGAGAAUGGAUCAUACAUCUAUCCAAGUAGGAAGGUCCAGCUCUGUUCUAACCCAGUGGAUAUCCUGCCACUUCAGAUUUAAAUUCUCAGCUGGGCUCAGUGUGCUAUUAUCAAGCCUGAGUAUACGAAUUAGCAACAGGAAGAAAACAAUCUGGAAAUUGAACCCAUCCAAAUCAGCACAGGCUCACCCUGCCCUUCUGGUGCAGCCCAAAGUAAGUUCACAUGCUGGUCGGGUUCCCAUAUGUGCACUUCCUUCUUUGAGAAAAAUCCUAAACCCUCCAGAAGUCUCUCAUCUCUGCCCACAGGCACUGUUGCAGAACCAUCCCCCACCCCCCCACACACACACCCUGCUGCCACAGCCAUCCUGCCUCAGGCCCUGGAUCUGAAGGGGCCUCACACACAGCUCAUCACCUCUGAAGCACCGUGAGCAAAGUAGCCAGGCGAGAACUCCCAGCAGCUAGCUGCGGGUGAGGAGACCAAGAGUGUGGAGUUGUGAAAGUGGGGCCUCAGAUAACAGGCAGGUCAGAGCCAGUGUCUUUCUGAGGAGAGGUCAGCCUAACUCUCAUUAAAACUGCAUCUUAAAAUAGGAAGGGCAUGUGGUGGUAGAGGAGGCUCCGUGAAGAGCUGGCAUUGCCCCAGUGUGCCCUGAAGUUCCAAAGUAUAAAGUAUGAAAACUCAACUUAUCCAAAUGAGGGUUCACACUGAAAACCUCAGCUCACCUCUGACUCGGAAUUAGUUACUUUUCUAAUGCUGUGAUAAAAUACCAUUAGCGUGAUGAUCUGUAGACAAAAGAGUGUAUUUGAGUUUAUGGUUCCAGUGGGAUUAGAGUGCAUGAUGGUGGAGCAGAGGCCUGGCAGCUGCAGCUGGAAACUGAGCGGUCACAUCUUCAACCAAAGCAGGAAGUAGAGUUGUGAACUAGAAAUGGUACAAGUCCUUCAGCUCUCAAAGCCCACCUCCGGCAAUAUCUUCUAGAUGGAUGGGGAAGGGGAGGGGGUCAUUUGAUUCAAACUAUCACACACCAUUGUCUCAUCUGAGAUGAUACUUUGUACUCCAGUCUAGGGACUGAGUAUCAUUGCAAGUUGUGGGUUUUGGAGUCAACCAAACAUGACCUUGAAGUCCAACCCUGUGGCUUCCAACAUAGACCUGACCAGUUUAUUUGAUUUCCCCAAGCCUGUUUCUAUACAUGCAUGUGGUGGUUUGAAUAAGAAUGGCUCCCGUAGACUCAGCAGUGGCACAUGAGGAGGUGUGGCCUUGCUGGAGUAGGUGUGGCAUUGUUGGAGGAAGUGUGUCACUGAGGUCUUACCUGCUCAAGCUACACUCAGGAUGACACACAAUCUCCUGCUGCCUGCACAUCAAGAUGAAGAAUUCUCAGCUCUGCCCUCAUGUCGCCAUCUCCUACCAUGAUGACAAUGGACCAAACCUCUGAAACUAGAAAAUGGGGGAUGGGGUGAAGCCGGAGUGGGAAAAUUAGUGGAUCCAUUUGAAAUAGAAGUUCCAUGAAGAGCAAAGAGACCGUGAAGGAACCUAUUCAAAAGAUACAGAAAACAAAAUACUGGAAUGGCUAAGGGCCAGCUUGACAGCAACAGCUCACAUCCCCCCUUCACAGGAGGACGGAGAGAAUGGGACAGACUUUGUCAUUGUCCACAGUGAGUCUCAAACUUCUGGAACAAUACCAGUUACUUCUGAGACCAAAAAAACUUUAUAGAUAUAUAAAAUUAAAUAGAAAUAUUUAAAGAGGCCAUAGAGGCAUAGCAUGGACAACACACAAAAUUUGAAGGAAAGCAAAAGCAACAAAAGAAAGUUGAUUAAGAUUCCUCAGGUCUUGAAAUCUGGAUCUGGAUCCAAAGGACAAAAAGAAUUACAGAGAUGAGAGCAAGAAAUACAACACAAAGCCAGAAGACACCAUUCAUCCAAGUUUAUGGAAAUGGCACCUUGAGAGUACAGAACUUUACAGCAGGACAUGGUGGCCCACAUGGGAAGCCAGUGCCAGCAGAUGGGGGUUUCUUUUACCAUAGAAAUGAGGAGAAUGGCAAUGUAUUAAGAUCCCAGAGAAACAGUUAGUAAUAACAAAUGCUCUCCAGGUAGUGUCCGAAUCUGCUGAGCAGCUCUGUCUUUAUCUACUGUCUCUAUCUCAUGGUUCAUUGUUCAUCUGGCUUCACUCUAAAUACACAUAGCUUUUCCAAAGGACUGAUGUGUGAUCUAAUGGCCUGUGGUCUCCAAAAGUGACAGUCUGGGAGGUGGCCACCUUUCAUUGUCCCCUGGCCCAGCAAUGUCUAGUGGUUCUACUCUGAGGAAAGUAAAAGGACAUUAAGGAGGUAGAUAGCAGAAGAUGAAAGGGGCAUUGAAGAAAGAGGCGUGGACAGCCUAGCAGAGGUGUGUCGAGCCUACACUGGGUGUGUGUGGACCUCGAAUACCUGUUUAUUUAUUUUAUGACCCCUCUUGGCUGCCUGUGUCAUAGAGCUUUGAGGACAUCUGUGCUCAGGAAUCUGUUUUGAAAGACUUCAUUCCAGGACAGAACUGCUGGAGAGAGGAUCACCAAUGAUCUUCACAAUUGCCUCACAUGAAGUUCACAGAUCAAGAGGAAACGGUGACAAGGUUGAGGAAGGGUCAUAGGUAGCAGGCACAGUGGUCCUAUGUGACACUUUGUACCUGUGUGAGAUGGGAGCCCAUAAGACAACAAUCUUCCCAAGCUCCUGAUGUUUGGAUUUUCCGUUAACUUUUAAGCCUCUCUAUCUAAGGAGCUCCCUUUAGGGAUUAAAAUUUUAUAUUUACAAGAAAAAAAAUGGAGGAGGAGAAAUCCUUGCUUGCAACUGCCUAGCAGGGAUAGAAGGGGUCGGAACUGAUGACACUUGAAGAUAUGGGAGGCAAGGAGGCGAUUUGGUUAGUGUGCCUACGAGGCCAUGUAUUAUUUCCUUCAGAUAGUCUUCCCCUCAUUCACAGCUGCUAGUGUCUCAUGUCAUAGGCACUUUUAAGGCCAAAACUGAGUGUUCUUGGUUACCCGGAUGUAGGAACUGGAAGCACUUACCAACACCCAUGAGGACAGAUAUGGAACUAAUGAGUUCAGUGCUAGCAAUGCCAUUCGGGUGAUACGACUUCCACACACAGCAUCAAGGGCCUAGAAGAACCCAUGAAUGACAUGGAGAGGAAUCGAUGGGCCAGGUCCUCCAAGAACCAGUCAGGAGGUGGAAUUCUCUCUUGAGACCUCUUCAUGCACGAUCAGACCUUGGAAAAAAGUGACCUCUUGUCAGGCCACAGCUCCAGCAAAUACCUGACCCCAAAAAGGCUUUGCUGCCUCAUACUCUCCACAAAACCAAGUGGCUCCAACUGGACACUUGGAAAGAAAACAGACUUGGAUAAUUGUGGUUAGACAAACAAUUUCAAGAUCAUUUGGCCUGUGUGUUUAGAAGGCUCAGGGGGCCUGAGGAAUGCGGUGAAUUUACAGGAAGAGGGACAAGAACACACAUUCCUCCAGAACGCCCAAUCACCAAGCUCUUGUUUAUUUUUUGGAACCAGUGAUGUCUGGAGAGAGGUCAUCCUUUCUGAGGUUGGAGAGUGAAGACAUGUUCUGAGGUUAUAGCCAGACAAGACAAAUGAGGGAUAGAAGGACAUCUAAUGUGGUUUCUAACAAAAGCUAGCUCCAGUUCAGAGGUGGGAACUGAGAACUGUCGGAGUCUACUGGAGGGCCUUGCAGGGACUCAACCCUGAGGGAGUGUAGACGGAUGCACACCUGAUGCUGGCAGUAAAGGAGCUGUGAUUUGGUGUUGCCUAAAGGUCUGCGUGGUGAAGGUUGGUCCACCUGUGGAGCUUCUGGGAUGUGUUGGACUCUAAAAGUAGCAGGAGGCUGGAGAGAUGACUGAGGAGGGAAAGGCAUUUUCCACCAAGCUUGAUGUACCAGAGGCCACCAAGGAAGGAAGGAAAGAACGAACGAAUGAAUGAACAAACGAAGGAGAGAAGGAAAAAAGAGAGAGGGGGAAGGAAGGAAUAAAGGAGAAAUGAAGGGAAAGACAGAGGGAAGAAGGAAGCAGGGAAGGAAGGGAGGAAGGAAGGAGGGAGAAAGGCAAGGAAGGAAGGAGGGAAAUAAGGAAAAAGUUGAUAAAAUGUCAUGUGGAAAACACAGCAUCUAUAACAGAACAGUCAUCCUUAUUCUGUGUCAAAAAAAAAAGAUGAAAACUUAGAAAAACAAAAUUUCAUCAGCAUUAGACUAUAAUCUAUUAGCAAGCAGUAGGCGCAUCUCUCAUUAGCAGUUUCUAAGUCAGCAGUGUACUACCUGAAGGUUUAGGACAAACAAUCCAUGGGCUGGUAGAGUAGGUUGGCUUUACAGUCAUGGAAAGCAGAAACAAAGAAUAAAGUGUUUGGUUGGUAUUUGUUUCUCUUCCUGUUGAGAAAAACAACUUAAAGGAUAAAGGGUCAAUUUUAACUCAUAGUUUAAGGCACAAUCCAUCAUGGUGGAAAAACCAAGGCAGCGGGCGCUUGAGGAAGGUGCUACACUGCAUCCACAAUCAGGGUCUGAGGAGGGUGACUUUAUGCCAGUUCUUAGCUCACUUUCUAAAUGUUAUACA
This 8960-nucleotide long non-coding RNA is filed under the name Cricetulus griseus (Chinese hamster). Its description in RNAcentral is "lncRNA (ENSCGRG00015033662.1)". Lineage: Eukaryota; Metazoa; Chordata; Mammalia; Rodentia; Cricetidae. The record is from RNAcentral.